AAGUCGUAACAAGGUUUCCGUAGGUGAACCUGCGGAAGGAUCAUUAAUGAAGAGGCCGAAAGGUAACUUCCAACCCUGUGUAACCUUCCUGUUGCUUCCACAGCUCCGGCUGUGCGAGGACCCCAACACUAUGAACUUGCGUCUGAGUCUUUUUAAAACAAAACAAAACUUUCAACAACGGAUCUCUUGGUUCUC
This 195-nucleotide unclassified non-coding RNA is filed under the name Phylloporus sp. RNAcentral's name for it is "partial contains small subunit ribosomal RNA, internal transcribed spacer 1, and 5.8S ribosomal RNA". The stretch from base 1 to 46 matches the Rfam family "Eukaryotic small subunit ribosomal RNA", at positions 1786 to 1831 of the family's 1831-position model. Lineage: Eukaryota; Fungi; Basidiomycota; Agaricomycetes; Boletales; Boletaceae. The record is from RNAcentral.